RNAcentral lists this long non-coding RNA (3320 nucleotides) under Ovis aries (sheep). Its description in RNAcentral is "lncRNA (ENSOARG00000026884.1)". Lineage: Eukaryota; Metazoa; Chordata; Mammalia; Artiodactyla; Bovidae. The record is from RNAcentral.
CAGCUGCAGUCAAGUGCUGAGACUCCCAAGAGGGAGAAGGUAUGCUCCUACUGUCUAAGAAGGAUUAUGUUAGACUUUGUUAUUUCCUCUUCAGUACUGCUAUUUUGCCUCUAGUAUUUGACAAUGUAGGGAAAAGAGACCAUCAGUGAUGACCCUGGGCAAUUAUGAAAUAACAGCUGUCCAUGGCAUGGCUGGAUUUUGUAAGUUAGACCGUGUAUCACUUCCCCUCCUGAAGAUUCUGUUCUGAUUGUGUUUAUCUUUGCUGUCAUAUCAACAGUAAGAUGUAAGCCUAGUUAUUAAUCAUCUGGCACCUUUUAAAGAGACACAAUCAUCUCACUGUCUAGCUUUUGCUGCUAUUAAGGGCUGAUGCCCGGAUGUGGGAGGUUCUCAAGCAGGUUCUCGCUUAUUGAGUCCGAAUCAGGGAUGUUCAAAUGUUUGCAGACAAGGGCUCAGUCAGACCUGCAGACUGCAGACACCCCUUUACCUGAUCGGAAAGGGGUGGCCCCACCAGUUUCUCCAGGAUUGUGCUGUCUCUUUCAUAUUUCUCCUGGAGGGCCUAGGUAUACAUUGAAAUGUGUCUAGAGCCUAAGAAGUGUGGGGAAACUCAGCUUUAGGCAGUGGUGAGCCUCGCUGAUUCAAAAUAUCUCAGAGCAGAUGAGGGAGUGGGCUUGCUCUCCUUUCUCCCCCUCUGAGGUCCGCUUGUUUCGAAGGUGACUUGGUGUUGUCCAAAUGCGUCCACGCGGAAUGAAUGCUCAGCUGUGUCUGACUCUUUAUGACCCCAUGGACUGUGGCCCUCCAGGGCUCUCUGUCCAUGGAGUUUCCCAGGCAAAACACUGGAGUGGGCUGCCAUUUCCUACUCCAGGGCAUCUUUCCAACCCAGGGAACAAAUCUGCGUCUCCUGCAUCUCCUUCAUUUGCACGUGACUUCUCUACCCCUGAGCCACCUGCUUUCGUCCAAAUGCCAGACAGAAAAUGUGCUGAACGUCAAAAAGAACAGCAAGUGACGCCGGAGCGAGCUUGUGGAAAGGCUGUCUGCAGUGCGUCCAGUGACAUGAGAAAGAAUGCGGGCUAUCACCUCACACCUCCAACAACUGGUUCCAUUUUUACAUCUCUCCUUCCUCGCUCAUUUCUGCUCAGCACCGUCUUUCUGUUUUCAACUCAGGUAAUGUGCUUGUCCUGUACUUCACAAGACUAGCUGGAGGCCUGCCCUUAAGGCUUGCUAGAACUUUCCACUCACUGGAUUCUCUACUUCUCUGCUCUCUCUGAGGCUCUCAAGACCCAAACUCCUCAUGUAGGAAACCACUCUCGUAAAUUAGGCCCCUAGUUUGAUUACUUCUUACUUUCUGUCCCUUGUAAGUUGUUAGUCUAUUGAAAUUUAAGCCUGAACAUCAGUGCAGUGGUUCUGGACUCUGGCUGAACUCUAGAACCACCUGAGGUACCUGAAGAAGCACCAGUGCGUGGACCCCACCCUCAGAGAUUCUGAUACAGUCGGUCUGGGAUGGGACCCUGCAUCAUUUUUUUUUAAGUGCCUCAGGCGUUUUUUAAAUCUGUGGCAAGAAUUCAGAAUUACCCAGUGAGUCCUAUGCCCUCUUGUUAGCCUUAAGGAAGUGGAAUUCCACAAAAUUGAAGUGAUUUGCCUAAGGCAGCGCUUCUGGGAGCACUUCUCGCUUCCUGGGGGCCCCUGUGCCGUGUACCGGUACCUGGGAAGAACCGCUGGCCCAAGGUUACAGCGGAGUGAGUGAUCAGAGCCAGGAAUCUAAUCCAAGGGUCUUGAUUCCUAACCUCCAGUUUGUUCCACUUCACCUCCCCCAGAUGGAGACAUCGUUAUUGGCAAAGGCUUUUGAAAUCAAAAUUGCGGCAAUUGCUUUAAUCUCGAUUCGGGCUCAUUAAAACAACCCCGCUGACUGGAAACACUAGAAAGAAUCUGGGAGGGUGGUAUUUACUCUUGAAAAAUUUUCUUGUUAUGAGUAAACAAGCAAGCCCUCCCAGGUCUUUUUCCUUCAUUUCCCUCCUCGCCAGCCUGUCCCCAUCCCCCCACUGAUAAAAUCUGUCUGUUGGGUUAAUAGUUUUGACUUAAACUUUGUGUCAUCAUUGUGGCACACUUCCACAUUAAAUUAUUAAAAAAAACCUUUUUUUGGACUGAGGUAUCGUUGCUUUAUAAUGUUGUGUUAAUUUCUGCUGCACAGCAGAGUGAUUCAGCUAUGGGUAUGCGUGUAUCCUCUCUUUUGGAUUUCCUUCCUGCUUAGGUCACCACAGAGCAUUGAGUAGAAUUCCUUGUGCUAUACAAUAGGUCCUCAUUGGUUAUCUGUUUUAUUUAGAAUUCCUUGUGCUAUACAAUAGGUCCUCACUGGUUAUCUGUUUUAUACUUCGUACUGUAUAUAUGUAAAUUCCAAUGUCCCAGGCCAUCCCCACAUCAAAAUGUAAUAGUUCAAGAAAUCAGAAAAGUGAAGAAAAAAAUUAGGAAAAUACUAAUUGAGAAACUGACAUAUAUUGAAACGUUUGAGAAAGGGCAUUAAUGAUAAUUCACAACAGAGUUUAAGACUUCCAGCAACAUAUGAACUGCCCAACUAAAGUAACUUUGAGACUGUCUAUAAUGGCAACCUGAAGUCUACGUGAAGGUAUUUAGACUUGGAAUAAAAUGUCUGUUUUUAAAUAACCCACAGAAAGUUCAUCAGUAAGAUCACCGUUUAGAAGCAAAUGUAGGCAACUUGCUCAGACAUCCACCAUCCAGACAGAAAGUAGUCCAUUUCCUACUGCUUUUUACCAUUUUUCUUUUGAUGAAAUCAAGGCAAUUUCUGCAUUCAUAUGCGAUGACUUGAUUUUUUCCUUUAUCGCUUCCAUCUGGGUAGUCACGGAAGUUUUAGCUGGACGAGCAUUAAGUUUUUAACAUGGGUACACGGCAUAUUCACAUACAAAAGAAAGAUCUAUCUGUUAGGCUCAGCGUCAAUACGGUUGGAUUGUUCUUGUUGUUCAGUCACUAAGUCAUGUCCAGCUCCUUGUGACCCCGUGAACUGCAGCACUCCAGGCUUCCCCGCCCUUCACUAUAUUCCAGAGCUUGCUCAAACUCAUGCCCAGGAAGUCAGUGAUGCCAUCCAACCAUCUCAUCCCCUGUCCUUCUCCUUCUCCUCCUGCCCUCAGUCUUUCCCAACAUCAGGGCCUUUUCCAAUGAGUCAACUCUUUGCAUGAAGUGGCCAAAAUAUUGGAGUUUCAGCUUCAGCAUCAGUCCUUUCAAUGAAUAUUCAGGACUGAUUUCUUUUAAGAUGGACUGGUUGGAUCUCCUUGUAGUCCAAGGGACUCUCGAGAGUCUUCUCCAGCACCACU